GGGAAUGCGGUGCCUGGACCAGCGGAAAUGCGGCGGGUGCAGACUUUAGUCGGAAUUGCGUGUCAUGAAGCGCACGUGUGCGGUUAUCUAAGUCAGAUGUGCAAUCACCGUGCGUAACCUGGGAACUGCAGCGGAUACUGGAAUACUAGAAUGUGGGUGACGAGAGUGGAAUUUCCGGUGUACCGAUGACAGGCAUAGAGAUCGGAAGCAACACCAGUGGCGAAGGCGUCUCUCAGGACCAACAUUGACGCUGAGUUGCGAAAGCGUGGGUAGCAAACAGGAUUAGAUACCCGGGUAGUC
This 300-nucleotide ribosomal RNA is filed under the name uncultured Thermoplasma sp. RNAcentral's name for it is "bacterial SSU rRNA". It matches the Rfam family "Bacterial small subunit ribosomal RNA", at positions 496 to 795 of the family's 1533-position model. The record is from RNAcentral. Lineage: Archaea; Methanobacteriati; Thermoplasmatota; Thermoplasmata; Thermoplasmatales; Thermoplasmataceae.